UGAAUACGAGAUGCUACGGCGUUGAAGCAGUGUAUGUCAGACUUCCAAGAAAAGCUCGCAAUGUCAUAAAUAAAGAAUGCCUGUACCAUAACCGACACAGGUGGGUAGGUAGAGUAUACUAAGGGGCGCGAGAUAACUCUCUCUAAGGAACUCGGCAAAAUGACUCCGUAACUUCGGGAGAAGGAGUGCCUUAUUUAUAAGGUUGCAAUAACAAGAUCCAAGCAACUGUUUAUCAAAAACACAGGUCUCCGCUAAGUCGUAAGACGAUGUAUGGGGGCUGACGCCUGCCCAGUGCCAGAAGGUUAAAGAAGUUGGUUAGUGUAUGCGAAGCUGAUGACUGAAGCCCUGGUGAACGGCGGCCGUAACUAUAACGGUCCUAAGGUAGCGAAAUUCCUUGUCGGGUAAGUUCCGACCCGCACGAAAGGCGUAAUGAUUUGGAUACUGUCUCGGAGAGAGGCUCGGUGAAAUAGACUUGUCUGUGAAGAUGCGGACUACCUGCACCAGGACAGAAAGACCCUAUGAAGCUUUACUGUAACUUGAAAUUGGAAUUGGACUUUGCUUGCGCAGUAUAGGUGGGAAGCGUUGAAGAUAUUCUUGCGGGAGUAUUGGAGCUAUCAGUGAGAUACCACUCUUGUAAUGUUAGAUUUCUAACUUUGAACCAUAAUCUGGUCAAAGAACAGUUUCAGGUGGGCAGUUUGACUGGGGCGGUCGCCUCCCAAAUGGUAACGGAGGCGUACAAAGGUUUCCUCUGAACGGAUAGAAAUCGUAUCUAGAGUGUAAAGGCAUAAGGAAGCUUGACUGUGAGACCUACAAGUCGAGCAGGGACGAAAGUCGGUCUUAGUGAUCUGACGGUACUGAGUGGAAAGGCCGUCACUCAACGGAUAAAAGUUACUCUAAGGAUAACAGGCUGAUCUCCCCCAAGAGUUCACAUCGACGGGGAGGUUUGGCACCUCGAUGUCGGCUCAUCGCAUCCUGGGGCGGUAGUACGUCCCAAGGGUUGGGCUGUUCGCCCAUGAGAGCGGUACGCGAGCUGGGUUCAGAACGUCGUGAGACAGUUCGGUCCAUAUCCGGUGUAGGCGUUAGAAUAUUGAGAGGAGCCUUCUUUAGUACGAGAGGACCGAGAAGGACACACCGCUGGUGUACCAGUUAUCGUGCCAACGGUAAACGCUGGGUAGCUAUGUGUGGAGUGGAUAACCGCUGAAAGCAUCUAAGUGGGAAGCCCACCUCAAGAUGAGUAUUCUCA
RNAcentral lists this ribosomal RNA (1243 nucleotides) under metagenome. Its description in RNAcentral is "bacterial LSU rRNA". It matches the Rfam family "Bacterial large subunit ribosomal RNA", at positions 1564 to 2816 of the family's 2925-position model. The record is from RNAcentral.